AGCCCUGUGGUGAGUAUCACAUCAAAUUGCAAAUUUGAAGAAGUUCCUAUUAGGUUCCAGGGCUU
This 65-nucleotide transfer RNA is filed under the name Bavayia crassicollis. RNAcentral's name for it is "tRNA-Cys". Lineage: Eukaryota; Metazoa; Chordata; Lepidosauria; Squamata; Diplodactylidae. The record is from RNAcentral.